GACGAACCUUGCUAACGUUAUUCGGAAUCACUGGGCUUAAAGGGUGCGUAGGCUGUGCAGAAAGUUGGGUGUGAAAUCCCUCGGCCUAACCGAGGAACUGCGCCCAAAACUACUGUGCUUGAGGGAGAUAGAGGUGAGCGGAACUGAGGGUGGAGCGGUGAAAUGCGUUGAUAUCCUCAGGAACACCCGUGGCGAAAGCGGCUCACUGGGUCUCUUCUGACGCUGAGGCACGAAAGCUAGGGGAGCAAACGGG
Molecule: ribosomal RNA, 253 nt
Filed under: uncultured prokaryote
Description: partial 16S ribosomal RNA
Rfam family: Bacterial small subunit ribosomal RNA
Source: RNAcentral